AUUCUUGAGUAGUCGCGGUUAGCGCUAAGCUAGCUGAGGAAAGUCCACGCACACACAAGCUGCGAUGCUUGUAGUGAUCGUAUUCAGCCUAAUAAGCUGGAGGAUUAAUUUUACGGCGGAAAAAGUGCUAAAUCUUCGGACAAGCAUGAAUAUCCUGAAAAGUGCCACAGUGACGUAGCAAAAAUGGAAACAUUUUUGGUGGAACGAGGUAAACCCUGCGAGUGUGCAACCCAAAUUUGGUAGGGUCUCGACCUAAGGAAUUGAACUAAAGGUCGGAUUAUUACUUAGUAAUAAAGAUAGAUGGCUACCGAAGGGUAUUUUGCCAAGAUACCUGGAACAAAACGUGGCUUAUAGAA
This 356-nucleotide RNase P RNA is filed under the name Lactobacillus sp. Its description in RNAcentral is "RNase P RNA component class B". It matches the Rfam family "Bacterial RNase P class B". From Rfam's summary of the family: Ribonuclease P (RNase P) is a ubiquitous endoribonuclease, found in archaea, bacteria and eukarya as well as chloroplasts and mitochondria. Its best characterised activity is the generation of mature 5'-ends of tRNAs by cleaving the 5'-leader elements of precursor-tRNAs. Lineage: Bacteria; Bacillati; Bacillota; Bacilli; Lactobacillales; Lactobacillaceae. The record is from RNAcentral.